RNAcentral lists this long non-coding RNA (222 nucleotides) under Elaeis guineensis (African oil palm). RNAcentral's name for it is "long non-coding RNA (EGUI_LNC022409)". Lineage: Eukaryota; Viridiplantae; Streptophyta; Magnoliopsida; Arecales; Arecaceae. The record is from RNAcentral.
GUUCUAGUUGAAGUAGUUUUAAGCAGCUUGUUUGGAUUGAGAAAAAUGAAGUAAAGACUCACAUUUAGGUCUAUCCUAUGAAAACUUGGCCUUUGAUAGUUUUGGUGUUACAUUUGUCUCUCCCCAUCUCCAUCACAUAGUGCCGUCCUCUACAUAUGGAUUCAGUCAGCUUGAGAGCAGCCCUUUUUCUAGUUUUCUAAUCCUGUAAGAAAUUCAAUAUGC